Molecule: long non-coding RNA, 443 nt
Organism: Mastomys coucha (southern multimammate mouse)
Lineage: Eukaryota; Metazoa; Chordata; Mammalia; Rodentia; Muridae
Exons: 2
Source: RefSeq, a predicted model, not a curated record
CCCGCAGAAAUCUCCUGGUGGUCAGUCUCCUCUUCCCUGUCUUGGGUUCGCCAGUGAAAUCUUCAUUCUCUGCGGGACACUGGCUGCUCAGAGCAGCUUGGGACAGAAGCAAGAAAGGGAAAGAUGAGCAGACGAUGUAGAAGAAAUAAAGACUGACCACUGCAACUCCAUGUCUGGGAUUGCAAUGCAUCACCGCACCCAGCUGAAGCACCUUCAUUGGUUUCUACAGGAAAAGUUCUCCCUGUUGGCUGAUCCUUAGAUGCUGGGCUCCAUGGACUCAUCCAGCCCUGAAAUCCUGAGUCUGUCCCAUUCUCUCUCUUUCCUCUCAUCUCUGGUACUUCCUUCCUUGCCCCACCUUCUUCUCAGCCUUCCUUUUCUUUAAAAAGACCAUAAAGAUAAAAAAGAAAAAAACCUAUAAAAUAAACAUCUCUUGCUACCUCCUA